RNAcentral lists this unclassified non-coding RNA (206 nucleotides) under Hevea brasiliensis (rubber tree). The record is from RNAcentral. Lineage: Eukaryota; Viridiplantae; Streptophyta; Magnoliopsida; Malpighiales; Euphorbiaceae.
AGUUUGUAAAUGAGGUAACAGGGUAGAGCUGGGCUCCCCUGAUUUUAGUUUCUGAAAAUUUCUGGGCUAAGUUGGCCCAAAAUGAAAUUAUAACAGUUUGAUUUAAAUUAUUUUAUAUGCAUAUUGGGCCUAAAUUGUGGGCCUGGUUAUGGAUUUGAGGAAUAGUUAGGCUUACUACGGGUCUCGGGGGCUUUAGGCUGGCCCAG